RNAcentral lists this ribosomal RNA (235 nucleotides) under uncultured fungus. Its description in RNAcentral is "partial 18S ribosomal RNA". The stretch from base 69 to 235 matches the Rfam family "Eukaryotic small subunit ribosomal RNA", at positions 735 to 905 of the family's 1831-position model. Lineage: Eukaryota; Fungi. The record is from RNAcentral.
UCUAACGAUGUGCACUGGCCGCGCAGGCUUUCCUUUCCAAGGACUGGGUCUGGCUUUUAACGGCUGGGCCCUGGACUUGGGACUUUUACUUUGAAAAAAUUAGAGUGUUCAAAGCAAGCGUUUGCCUGAAUACAUUAGCAUGGAAUAAUAGAAUAGGACUUUGGUUUUAUUUUGUUGGUUUCUAAGACUGAAGUAAUGAUUAAUAGGGACAGUUGGGGCAUUAGUAUUUAGAUGU